Molecule: long non-coding RNA, 366 nt
Filed under: Fukomys damarensis (Damara mole-rat)
Lineage: Eukaryota; Metazoa; Chordata; Mammalia; Rodentia; Bathyergidae
Description: lncRNA (ENSFDAG00000025907.1)
Source: RNAcentral
UUGCAUUUACCAUACUUCCUGAAUGUGUUCUUUGCAAUUAGGGACAUCUGAUGAGCUUGGAGUAUUGCUUGGCUUCCCACAGAUAACACGAAGAUGAGAACACCUCUCCUUGAGGCAGAGGCAGAAUGGCAUUGUCGUCUUGAAAGCCAGUAUCAGGUGGUGAAAUCUUUAUGAAGACACCAUCAGAAUAUUACAGAAAAUCCAGGGAAUAUGGAAGGGUAAGGUGAGUUAUUCAUUUUACCUUGUUGUUUCCCUUAAGAGCACAUCAUUCAGUGUGCCUAAAGUCAGACAGAAAUGAUUGCAUUUAUCAGACGAAUGAGUAUGAAACUGGUCUCCAGUGGGGAGAAAAUGGAGCGCUGUCAGGGU